AAGUCGUAACAAGGUUUCCGUAGGUGAACCUGCGGAAGGAUCAUUAAUGAAUUACAAGUCGGUCCUCUGUGCUGGUGGAAACACAUGUGCACGUUGAUCGCAAAUCCACACACCUGUGCACCUUUGACUCUGGGGUUCGCUUGCUGGCUUGUCUGGCUUGCAGUUGGUCGACUUUUGUUGGCCUGGAUCUCGGGGUAUUUUUACACACUCUGAAUGUAAUGGAAUGUCUCUGUGCAUAACGCGCAUAAUAACAACUUUCAACAACGGAUCUCUUGGCUCUC
This 281-nucleotide unclassified non-coding RNA is filed under the name Sebacinales sp. RNAcentral's name for it is "partial contains small subunit ribosomal RNA, internal transcribed spacer 1, and 5.8S ribosomal RNA". The stretch from base 1 to 46 matches the Rfam family "Eukaryotic small subunit ribosomal RNA", at positions 1786 to 1831 of the family's 1831-position model. The record is from RNAcentral. Lineage: Eukaryota; Fungi; Basidiomycota; Agaricomycetes; Sebacinales.